Molecule: non-coding RNA, 669 nt
Filed under: Veronia pacifica
Lineage: Bacteria; Pseudomonadati; Pseudomonadota; Gammaproteobacteria; Vibrionales; Vibrionaceae
Description: Enterovibrio sp. sw014 Bacterial large subunit ribosomal RNA
Rfam family: Bacterial large subunit ribosomal RNA
Source: Rfam by way of RNAcentral
GGUUAAGUGACUAAGCGUACACGGUGGAUGCCUUGGCAGUCAGAGGCGAUGAAGGACGUGCUAACCUGCGAUAAGCCAUGAGAAGACGGUAAGAGUCACUAUACUCAUGGAUCUCCGAAUGGGGAAACCCACUUACACAAGUAAGUAUCGUCACGUGAAUACAUAGCGUGGCGAGGCGAACUCGGGGAACUGAAACAUCUAAGUACCCGAAGGAAAAGAAAUCAACUGAGAUUCCGGCAGUAGCGGCGAGCGACCCCGGAUUAGCCCUUAAGCUUUUUAUGCGUCAGUGGAAUCUUCUGGAAAGGAGAGCGAUACAGGGUGACAGCCCCGUACACGACGGCGUAUUUAAGGUGAAAUCGAGUAGGACGGGACACGUGAUAUCCUGUCUGAACAUGGGGGGACCAUCCUCCAAGGCUAAAUACUCCUGACUGACCGAUAGUGAACCAGUACCGUGAGGGAAAGGCGAAAAGAACCCCUGUGAGGGGAGUGAAACAGAACCUGAAACCGUGUACGUACAAGCAGUGGGAGCCUCCUUGUGGGGUGACUGCGUACCUUUUGUAUAAUGGGUCAGCGACUUACGUUAUGUAGCAAGGUUAACCGCAUAGGGGAGCCGUAGGGAAACCGAGUCUUAACUGGGCGCACAGUUGCAUGACGUAGACCCGAAACCGA